UCUUCAUUUUUCCACACUCUCUCACCGUUUAGAGAGGCGAGAGAGUGUGUGAAAUGAAGAGA
Non-coding RNA from Pristionchus pacificus, 62 nucleotides. NCBI's taxonomy places the organism in Eukaryota, Metazoa, Nematoda, Chromadorea, Rhabditida, Neodiplogasteridae. The record is from Rfam.